This 497-nucleotide ribosomal RNA is filed under the name uncultured bacterium. Its description in RNAcentral is "partial 16S ribosomal RNA". It matches the Rfam family "Bacterial small subunit ribosomal RNA", at positions 28 to 507 of the family's 1533-position model. The record is from RNAcentral.
GAUGAACGCUGGCGGCGUGCCUAAUACAUGCAAGUCGAGCGAACAGACGAGGAGCUUGCUUCUCUGACGUUAGCGGCGGACGGGUGAGUAACACGUGGAUAACCUACCUAUAAGACUGGGAUAACUUCGGGAAACCGGAGCUAAUACCGGAUAAUAUAUUGAACCGCAUGGUUCAAUAGUGAAAUACGGUUUUGCUGUCACUUAUAGAUGGAUCCGCGCCGCAUUAGCUAGUUGUUAAGGUAACGGCUUACCAAGGCAACGAUGCGUAGCCGACCUGAGGGGGUGAUCGGCCACACUGGAACUGAGACACGGUCCAGACUCCUACGGGAGGCAGCAGUAGGGAAUCUUCCGCAAUGGGCGAAAGCCUGACGGAACAACGCCGCGUGAGUGAUGAAGGUCUUCGGAUCGUAAAACUCUGUUAUUAGGGAAGAACAAAUGUGUAAGUAAAUAUGCACGUCUUGACGGUACCUAAUAAGAAAGCCACGGCUAACUACGUG